GUAACACACACAUUUAUACACACACACACCACCACGCAACACACUGCUACUUCCCCACAGUCAGCAAGGUAAACAACAAGGUAACACACACAUUUAUACACACACACACACCAUCACACAACACACUGCUACUUCCCCACAGUCAUCAAGGUAAACAACAAGGUAACACACACACACACCAUCACACAACACACUGCUACUUCCCCACAGUCAGCAAGGUAAACAACAAGGUAACACACACACACACCAUCACACAACACAGGUAUACACAAGGUAUCACAUACACAUGGUUAGCAGAUGUUAUUGCGAGUGUAGUGAAAUGCUUAUGCUUCUAGAUCUGGCAGUGCAGCAGUAUCUAACAGGUAAUAUCUAACAAGUCCACAACUAAACAUAAUACACACAGUCUAGUAAAGGAAUAAGAAUAUAUAAGUAUAAAAUAUAUGGAUGAGCAGUGACAGAGCGGCUAAGAUGCAAUAGAGAGUAUAGAAUAGAUAGUGUAGGAUACAGUAUACAUUAUAUACAUAUGAGAUGAGUAAUGCGAGAUAUGUAAACAUUCUUAAAGUGGCAUUAUUAAUGUGACAAGUGUUCCGUUUAUUAAAGUGGCCAAUGAUAUCAAGUCUGUAGGUAGGCAGCCACCUCUCUGUGUUAGUGAUGGCUGUUUAACGAUCUGAUGGCCUUGAGAUAGAAGCUGUUUUUCCAUCUCUCGGUCCCAGCUUUGAUGCACCUGUACUGACCUCACUUUCUGGAUGUUAGCGGGGUGAACAGGCAGUGGCUCGGGUGGUUGCUGUUUGCUGAAGUCCACGAUCAUCUCUUUUGUUUUGCUGACAUUGAGUGUG
RNAcentral lists this long non-coding RNA (836 nucleotides) under Salmo salar (Atlantic salmon). Its description in RNAcentral is "lncRNA (ENSSSAG00000116137.1)". Lineage: Eukaryota; Metazoa; Chordata; Actinopteri; Salmoniformes; Salmonidae. The record is from RNAcentral.